CAGCUCUCAUCUUGUGUGUCCAGAUAAUCUCAGGAGUGUCAGAAUCAGAGACCAUAGCAGCUGCAAAUGCAGCAGAACUGCUACGUUCCAGAACAUAGAGCAAGGACUCAGGUAAAAGCCCACCCAAAACACUACGUUUUGCCAAAGGCAAAGAAGAGGAGACGGCGGCAUCUUCCCCUCCAUGAAAUGCUUGAUGAACAUGUGUCACUGAGAACAGCUGAGCAAUUGAGAGGAGAUUGGAUCCAGGAUAAGCUAGAGCAAAGUAAAAGGCUCCAGUGCUAUAUAAUUUUAUCAUUGCCUUGGGAUUCCUAGUAACUAUGGCCUUCAACAAAGCAGCAGCACCUUCUACAACACUUGGUUCUCCAGAGAGCAUAGCCUGAGUAAUAUGCGGAAGGCAACGUGGACUUGAUAAAAUUCGCUUGACCCUAGGUGUUGGUGUAACUAUCUCUCCAGCAUCAUCUAUAUCUGAGUGUGCCGCAACCAUGCUGUGUAAUAUGCUCAAUGCUACUUCUCCUACCUGGGUUGGAGUGAGAACAGGAACUCGGACAGCCAAAGCCCACCUGAGCUCACGAAUAUCUCGCAACUUCUUCCAAUCUGGCAUCCCAGUAGCCCAACAUCUGGUGGUCCAAUCUAUUUCCUUUUUUG
Molecule: unclassified non-coding RNA, 645 nt
Filed under: Hevea brasiliensis (rubber tree)
Lineage: Eukaryota; Viridiplantae; Streptophyta; Magnoliopsida; Malpighiales; Euphorbiaceae
Source: RNAcentral